RNAcentral lists this ribosomal RNA (436 nucleotides) under uncultured bacterium. Its description in RNAcentral is "bacterial SSU rRNA". It matches the Rfam family "Bacterial small subunit ribosomal RNA", at positions 354 to 796 of the family's 1533-position model. The record is from RNAcentral.
GUCGAGGAUCUUCGGCAAUGGGCGCAAGCCUGACCGAGCGACGCCGCGUGUGCGAUGAAGGCCUUCGGGUUGUAAAGCACUGUCGAGGGGGAGGAAGCUCCGCAAGGGGUUGACCUAUCCCUGGAGGAAGCACGGGCUAAGUUCGUGCCAGCAGCCGCGGUAAGACGAACCGUGCGAACGUUGUUCGGAUUCACUGGGCUUAAAGGGCGCGUAGGCGGCCGCUCAAGUCGGGGGUGAAAUCUUUCAGCUUAACUGGAAAAUAGCCUUCGAUACUGGGUGGCUUGAGGGAGAUAGGGGUGCGCGGAACUUCCGGUGGAGCGGUGAAAUGCGUAGAUAUCGGAAGGAACGCCGGUGGCGAAAGCGGCGCACUGGAUCUUCUCUGACGCUGAGGCGCGAAAGCCAGGGGAGCAAACGGGAUUAGAAACCCGUGUAGUCC